RNAcentral lists this ribosomal RNA (497 nucleotides) under uncultured bacterium. RNAcentral describes it as "partial 16S ribosomal RNA". It matches the Rfam family "Bacterial small subunit ribosomal RNA", at positions 28 to 507 of the family's 1533-position model. The record is from RNAcentral.
GACGAACGCUGGCGGCGUGCCUAAUACAUGCAAGUUGAGCGAUGAAGAUUGGUGCUUGCACCAAUUUGAAGAGCAGCGAACGGGUGAGUAACGCGUGGGGAAUCUGCCUUUGAGCGGGGGACAACAUUUGGAAACGAAUGCUAAUACCGCAUAACAACUUUAAACAUAAGUUUUAAGUUUGAAAGAUGCAAUUGCAUCACUCAAAGAUGAUCCCGCGUUGUAUUAGCUAGUUGGUGAGGUAAAGGCUCACCAAGGCGAUGAUACAUAGCCGACCUGAGAGGGUGAUCGGCCACAUUGGGAAUGAGACACGGCCCAAACUCCCACGGGAGGCAGCAGUAGGGAAUCUUCGGCAAUGGACGAAAGUCUUACCGAGCAACGCCGCGUGAGUGAAGAAGGUUUUCGGAUCGUAAAACUCUGUUGGUAGAGAAGAACGUUGGUGAGAGUGGAAAGCUCAUCAAGUGACGGUAACUACCCAGAAAGGGACGGCUAACUACGUG